AUAGUAUAUUUGGCUAUUUGCCAUCUCAAGGAUAUAUACACACUCAACAAACCUUGAACAAAGACCCUUUCCUACACCAACUUGCACACUUCUUUCUCUUUCUUUUUUUCUUUAUCUGUCUUCAGCUGGAAUAUCAAGAAACUACAAGAUUAAGUAAAUAAAUAUAGUGACACAUAUUUUUCGAAAAAAGAUCAGAAUCUCUAGAAAGAAGAGAGACAAGGGAAAGGAUGAUGAGGAAAUGUGAGCUGUGCAGCUCCAUUGCAAGAAUGUUUUGUGAAUCAGAUCAAGCAAGUUUGUGUUGGAGUUGUGAUGCUAAAGUUCAUUCUGCUAAUUUUUUGGUGGCUAAACACUCGAGAACUCUUUUGUGUCAAACUUGUCAGUCUCUUACUCCAUGGACUGGCUCUGGUCCUAAGCUUGGACACACUCUUUCUGUCUGUGAAUCUUGUGUUCAUGGGGAUUCUAGCCAUAAUAAUCAUAUUGAUGAUGAUGGAGAUGAAGAUGAAGAUCAAGAAGAAGAUGAUGAUGAUGAGGAUGAGGAAGAGGAUGCAGAUGAUGAGCAAGAGGAAGAAGACGAUGGAGAGAAUCAAGUGGUUCCUCUUUCAUCCUCAUCUUUGGCUCCUCCACAAGUUACAAGCUCUUCUAGCAGUGAAGAAACAUCUGGCAGGUUGUAUAAUGGUGCUCAAAGUAGCAGGCAACCAAGAUUCUCAAUACCAUGGAGAAGAAAUCAUUGAUUUUGACAUGAAAAAAAGUUAGACAAGCAAAAGAGCACUAAAAAAUUUGUUUGGGCCAAAUCAAGGGGAUACAAUUGGAAGAUCAAAAGGAGGACAAUGAGACAAGGCAUGGUGAUAUAUACAGUACGUUGACAAGUCUUGAACUCAAAGCCAGGGAUAAAAAUGUCAUCAUCUCCUUAAUUAGUCAUGGUGUUCAAUACUACUGUUCACAUAUUGAAUUGUAGCCCCAUAUUCAAGCAUGUUGCUUAAUACUAAUGUUUAAUGUUAAGCUGCAAUGUCACGACUAAAUGAUAGUAUGUGCCUUCUGUACUGAUAUUUAAAAAGAUUCAUAACUAUUUCUUAA
Long non-coding RNA from Daucus carota subsp. sativus, 1074 nucleotides. RefSeq lists it as uncharacterized. The record is from RefSeq and is a predicted model, not a curated record. NCBI's taxonomy places the organism in Eukaryota, Viridiplantae, Streptophyta, Magnoliopsida, Apiales, Apiaceae. The transcript is spliced from 2 exons.